GAUCCUGGCUCAGAUUGAACGCUGGCGGCAGGCCUAACACAUGCAAGUCGAACGGUAGCACAGAGAGCUUGCUCUCGGGUGACGAGUGGCGGACGGGUGAGUAAUGUCUGGGAAACUGCCUGAUGGAGGGGGAUAACUACUGGAAACGGUAGCUAAUACCGCAUAACGUCGCAAGACCAAAGAGGGGGACCUUCGGGCCUCUUGCCAUCAGAUGUGCCCAGAUGGGAUUAGCUAGUAGGUG
RNAcentral lists this ribosomal RNA (241 nucleotides) under Enterobacteriaceae bacterium R-32560. Its description in RNAcentral is "partial 16S ribosomal RNA". It matches the Rfam family "Bacterial small subunit ribosomal RNA", at positions 15 to 254 of the family's 1533-position model. The record is from RNAcentral. Lineage: Bacteria; Pseudomonadati; Pseudomonadota; Gammaproteobacteria; Enterobacterales; Enterobacteriaceae.